CCUACGGGGGGCAGCAGUGGGGAAUAUUGCACAAUGGGGGAAACCCUGAUGCAGCGACGCCUCGUGAGUGAAGAAGUAAUUCGUUAUGUAAAGCACUAUCAGCAGGGAAGAAAAUGACGGUACCUGAGAAAGAAGCGACGGCUAACUACGUGCCAGCAGCCGCGGUAAUACGUAGGGGGCAAGCGUUAGCCGGAUUUACGGGGUGUAAAGGGAGCGUAGACGGCAGUGCAAGUCUGGAGUGAAAGGCGGGGGCUCAACCCCCGGACUGCUCUGGAAACUGUACGGCUGGAGUGCAGGAGAGGUAAGUAGAAUUCCUGGUGUAGCGGUGAAAUGCGUAGAGAUUAGGAGGAACACCAGUGGCGAAGGCGGCUUACUGGACAGUAACUGACGUUGAGGCUCGAAAGCGUGGGGAGCAAACAGGAUUAGAUACCCUGGUAGUC
RNAcentral lists this ribosomal RNA (440 nucleotides) under uncultured bacterium. RNAcentral's name for it is "partial 16S ribosomal RNA". It matches the Rfam family "Bacterial small subunit ribosomal RNA", at positions 338 to 795 of the family's 1533-position model. The record is from RNAcentral.